AGUGAACGCUGGCGGUAGGCCUAACACAUGCAAGUCGAACGGCAGCACAGUAAGAGCUUGCUCUUACGGGUGGCGAGUGGUGGACGGGUGAGGAAUACAUCGGAAUCUACUUUUUCGUGGGGGAUAACGUAGGGAAACUUACGCUAAUACCGCAUACGACCUACGGGUGAAAGCAGGGGAUCUUCGGACCUUGCGCGAUUGAAUGAGCCGAUGUCGGAUUAGCUAGUUGGCGGGGUAAAGGCCCACCAAGGCGACGAUACGUAGCUGGUCUGAGAGGAUGAUCAGCCACACUGGAACUGAGACACGGUCCAGACUCCUACGGGAGGCAGCAGUGGGGAAUAUUGGACAAUGGGCGCAAGCCUGAUCCAGCCAUACCGCGUGGGUGAAGAAGGCCUUCGGGUUGUAAAGCCCUUUUGUUGGGAAAGAAAAGCAGCAGGUUAAUACCCCGCUGUUCUGACGGUACCCAAAGAAUAAGCACCGGCUAACUUCGUG
This 492-nucleotide ribosomal RNA is filed under the name uncultured bacterium. RNAcentral describes it as "partial 16S ribosomal RNA". It matches the Rfam family "Bacterial small subunit ribosomal RNA", at positions 29 to 507 of the family's 1533-position model. The record is from RNAcentral.